RNAcentral lists this ribosomal RNA (253 nucleotides) under uncultured bacterium. Its description in RNAcentral is "partial 16S ribosomal RNA". It matches the Rfam family "Bacterial small subunit ribosomal RNA", at positions 524 to 776 of the family's 1533-position model. The record is from RNAcentral.
UACGUAGGUGGCAAGCGUUGUCCGGAAUUAUUGGGCGUAAAGCGCGCGCAGGCGGUCCUUUAAGUCUGAUGUGAAAUCUUGCGGCUCAACCGUAAGCGUGCAUUGGAAACUGGAGGACUUGAGUACAGAAGAGGAGAGUGGAAUUCCAUGUGUAGCGGUGAAAUGCGUAGAUAUAUGGGGGAACACCAGUGGCGAAGGCGACUCUCUGGUCUGUAACUGACGCUGAGGCGCGAAAGCGUGGGGAGCAAACAGG